AACAAUCAGAAGAUAAACUAUUCCCUUCAACACAAAAACGCACAACUCUUUAUUUUUUUUUUUGAGAUAUAGGUAGCACGCUACCCGCUUCGUUUUUUUAUUUAUCUUUUAGAAAUAAACUUAGCUGAAAAUGUGAAUCAAUUAGGAUUCGAACUUGGACUUCAGCAGUAGAUUCGGCAGAUUGUAUGUCGUGCUAACUGCUAACUAACAUU
This 212-nucleotide long non-coding RNA is filed under the name Ananas comosus (pineapple). Its description in RNAcentral is "long non-coding RNA (ACOM_LNC019134)". Lineage: Eukaryota; Viridiplantae; Streptophyta; Magnoliopsida; Poales; Bromeliaceae. The record is from RNAcentral.